GACGAACGCUGGCGGCGUGCUUAACACAUGCAAGUCGAACGGAAAGGCCCUGCCUUUGUGGGGUGCUCGAGUGGCGAACGGGUGAGUAACACGUGAGUAACCUGCCCUUGCCUUUGGGAUAACUUCAGGAAACUGGGGCUAAUACCGGAUAGGAGCUCUUGCUGCUGGGUGGGGGUUGGAAGGUUUAGGCGGUUGGGGAUGGACUCGCGGCUUAUCAGCUUGUUGGUGGGGUAGUGGAUUACCAAGGCUUGGACGGGUAGCCGGCCUGCGAGGAGGACCUGACCAAUUAGAACGGGAAUGCGGCCCGGACUACACCGGUAGGCAACGGUGGAGUAGGUUACACAAUAGGCUGAAGCAUGGUCCAACAAAGCAGCGUGCGGGAUGUCAGCCUGGGCGUAGGAUUCCACUUUCGCCUUUGACGAAGCGUUAGUGACAGUAAUGGGUAAAGAAGCACCGGCUAACUACGUG
This 468-nucleotide ribosomal RNA is filed under the name uncultured bacterium. RNAcentral's name for it is "partial 16S ribosomal RNA". It matches the Rfam family "Bacterial small subunit ribosomal RNA", at positions 28 to 507 of the family's 1533-position model. The record is from RNAcentral.